RNAcentral lists this ribosomal RNA (258 nucleotides) under uncultured bacterium. Its description in RNAcentral is "partial 16S ribosomal RNA". It matches the Rfam family "Bacterial small subunit ribosomal RNA", at positions 28 to 285 of the family's 1533-position model. The record is from RNAcentral.
GACGAACGCUGGCGGCGUGCUUAACACAUGCAAGUCGAGCGGUAAGGCCCUUUCGGGGGUACGACGAGCGGCGAACGGGUGAGCAACACGUGGGUGACCUGCCCUUAGCUCUGGGAUAAGCCUGGGAAACUGGGUCUAAUACCGGAUAUGACUCCAUGACGCAUGUUGUGGGGUGGAAAGCCUUGUGCGGCUAGGGAGUGGGCCCGCGGCCUAUCAGCUUGUUGGGUGGGGUGAUGGCCACCAAGGCGACGACGGGUA